Molecule: non-coding RNA, 562 nt
Organism: Sarcophilus harrisii (Tasmanian devil)
Lineage: Eukaryota; Metazoa; Chordata; Mammalia; Dasyuromorphia; Dasyuridae
Source: the annotation of a RefSeq genome assembly
UUAAGGAGAGGAGAGACUGAAGAUGGGGAAAGAAAGGCAGACAGAGGGAGCAAGAGAAAGACAAGAAUGGAGUCUGCAGGCCAUAGAGGAGCACACUGUUCCACAAUCCUGUGAAAAUGCCAUAAGCUAUUGGGAAGAGAAUGGUCAGCCCAAGGCAUCCCCCAUCAUCAGUGCCUUUGCUCCAUCCAAACCUGAGCUAGACACAAAAAAGGUCACCCUCGUGUGCCUGGUAAAUGGCUUCUACCCAAGGAAUUUGGACAUGGCUUGGACCAAGAAUGGCUCCCCCGUGACCGACGGGGUGAUGACCAGCCCCCCAGUCCGCCAGAGUGACAACAAGUAUACAGCCAGCAGUUACCUCUCACUCUCUGCUGACCAAUGGCUUUCUGACAGCACUUACAGCUGCAAGGUCACCCAUGAAGGCCAGGUCUUCCAGAAGCAGCUGUCCUCAACCCAGUGUACUUAGAAGCCCACAUGCUUCCUCCCUCACGUCCCACAAUGGACUUCCCCACCUCUUCCCCCUCCUCCCCUACUUUCAAUAAAGAUCUUCUCCUUUCUCAUUCAA